Molecule: ribosomal RNA, 398 nt
Filed under: uncultured bacterium
Lineage: Bacteria
Description: bacterial SSU rRNA
Rfam family: Bacterial small subunit ribosomal RNA
Source: RNAcentral
AAUGAACGUUGGCGGCGUGGAUUAGGCAUGCAAGUCGAGCGAGAAGCGAUCCUUCGGGAGAGUGGACAGCGGCGAACGGCGUAGUAAUAGAUAGGUAACGUGCCCCAAGGUCUGGGAUAGCCGCGGGAAACUGCGGGUAAUACCGGAUAAUCUCUUUGAGUCGAGUGGCCCAGAGAGCAAAGGUGAGAUUCCGUCUUGGGAGCGGCUUAUUGGGUAUUAGCUUGUUGGUGGGGUAACGGCCUACCAAGGCUGCGAUGCCUAGGGGGUGUUAGCGCAUGGCCCCCAGACUGGGACUGAGAACUGCCCAGACACCUACGGUGCUGCAGUCGAGAAUCUUCGGCAAUGGACGAAAGUCUGACCGAGCGACGCCGCGUGCGGGAUGAAGGCCCUUGGGUUGU